Molecule: small nuclear RNA, 104 nt
Organism: Meriones unguiculatus (Mongolian gerbil)
Lineage: Eukaryota; Metazoa; Chordata; Mammalia; Rodentia; Muridae
Source: Ensembl
AUGCUCACUUUGGCAGCACACAUAGUAAAAUUGGAGCAGUACAAAAAUUAACAUGGCCACUGUGCAAGGAUGACACACAAAUGCAUGAAGUGUUCAUAUUAAAA